This 267-nucleotide ribosomal RNA is filed under the name uncultured bacterium. Its description in RNAcentral is "partial 16S ribosomal RNA". It matches the Rfam family "Bacterial small subunit ribosomal RNA", at positions 355 to 638 of the family's 1533-position model. The record is from RNAcentral.
UAGGGAAUAUUGGACAAUGGGCGAAAGCCUGAUCCAGCAACGCCGCGUGCACGAUGAAGGUCUUCGGAUUGUAAAGUGCUUUUAAGGGAGAUGAGAAAGGACAGUAUCCCUUGAAUAAGCCUCGGCGAACUACGUGCCAGCAGCCGCGGUAAAACGUAGGAGGCAAGCGUUAUCCGGAUUUAUUGGGCGUAAAGCGCGUGCAGGCUGUUUGGAAAGUUGGAUGUGAAAGCUCCUGGCUUAACUGGGAGAGGUCGUUCAAAACUACCA